CACGUAGGCGGACUCUUAAGUCAGGGGUGAAAUCCUGGAGCUCAACUCCAGAACUGCCUUUGAUACUGGGAGCCUUGAGUUCGGGAGAGGUGAGUGGAACUGCGAGUGUAGAGGUGAAAUUCGUAGAUAUUCGCAAGAACACCAGUGGCGAAGGCGGCUCACUGGCCCGAUACUGACGCUGAGGUGCGAAAGCGUGGGAGCAAACA
Molecule: ribosomal RNA, 206 nt
Filed under: uncultured bacterium
Lineage: Bacteria
Description: partial 16S ribosomal RNA
Rfam family: Bacterial small subunit ribosomal RNA
Source: RNAcentral